AAUUUACUGUUCAUCACUAUAACCAUAGUCAUGUCAGUGUGACAUGUACUUUUCCAGUGAAUGUUUGUCUGUCUGACUGACAGAAGUUGCUCACGAAGUUCAUCACGUAAAACAGACAGCGUCAAAAUUCGUGAUGAACGGUUCCGGGUACAGAGCUGUAUAGUCC
Alosa sapidissima (American shad) is the source of this 166-nucleotide long non-coding RNA. RefSeq lists it as uncharacterized. NCBI's taxonomy places the organism in Eukaryota, Metazoa, Chordata, Actinopteri, Clupeiformes, Clupeidae. The transcript has 3 exons. The record is from RefSeq and is a predicted model, not a curated record.